UAUCAGUCAUCCCGAACCCUUCCAGCCGUCUUCCCCUGUAGUUGACCUGGCGUUACAAAAGACCAAACAAUGCUUCAUGGAAACAAUAACUUUUUUUAGGAUUAGUUUUGGAUAACCUCACAAGUGAUGAAAAUGUUGAAGAGCUUGCUGACCAAGAAAGAAAAUUGCCUGGAUCAUACUUACAAGAAAGUUUGUAAUUUUUGAACAGUGUCAGCGAGGGGUCCCUAAAAACGGUAGAAGACAGUCAAAAUAAAGAAAACAUAAACGAUUCUGGUGGGUUUAUUGUGCUACUAAAACAGUUUGCUUUCUUCCCAUCUCUCGGAAUAAACAAGUCAUUCUGGAUUCUUAAUAAAGCAAAAUCCUUUUGCUAUGUAAUAAAUCCCUCAUUGACCAAGCUUUUUCCGUCAAGAUCAUUGGAUAUUAGCCUCGAUCUUUUUUUCUGUUCUUACAAACCUUGACUUCAUCUCAGUCCAUAAAAAUGUAAAAAGAACUCAGCUGACAUCCAGCCAUCUUGACCUCAUUCUGGGUGAAUAACGCAUAUAUAUUGCGCAGGAUGCAGCUGGGAGCAGAGUCUCUACUUUUUCAGUUUAAGAUAACAUGAAUUAUUUCUUUCCUCCUAUGUUUCCUGAAAGAUUGUGUUAGUUCGAAGUAAAAUGUAUUUGAACAUUUA
Long non-coding RNA from Pocillopora damicornis (cauliflower coral), 670 nucleotides. NCBI's taxonomy places the organism in Eukaryota, Metazoa, Cnidaria, Anthozoa, Scleractinia, Pocilloporidae. The record is from RefSeq and is a predicted model, not a curated record.